GUGCUUAACACAUGCAAGUCGAACGGUAAGGCCUUUCGGGGUACACGAGUGGCGAACGGGUGAGUAACACGUGGGUGAUCUGCCCUGCACUUCGGGAUAAGCUUGGGAAACUGGGUCUAAUACCGGAUAUGACCAUGGACUUCACGGUUUGUGGUGGAAAGCUUUUGCGGUGUGGGAUGGGCCCGCGGCCUAUCAGCUUGUUGGUGGGGUAAUGGCCUACCAAGGCGACGACGGGUAGCCGGCCUGAGAGGGUGACCGGCCACACUGGGACUGAGAUACGGCCCAGACUCCUACGGGAGGCAGCAGUGGGGAAUAUUGCACAAUGGGCGCAAGCCUGAUGCAGCGACGCCGCGUGAGGGAUGACGGCCUUCGGGUUGUAAACCUCUUUCAGUAGGGACGAAGCGCAAGUGACGGUACCUAUAGAAGAAGGACCGGCCAACUACGUGCCAGCAGCCGCGGUAAUACGUAGGGUCCGAGCGUUGUCCGGAAUUACUGGGCGUAAAGAGCUCGUAGGUGGUUUGUCGCGUUGUUCGUGAAAUC
This 540-nucleotide ribosomal RNA is filed under the name Mycolicibacterium komossense. RNAcentral's name for it is "bacterial SSU rRNA". It matches the Rfam family "Bacterial small subunit ribosomal RNA", at positions 44 to 601 of the family's 1533-position model. Lineage: Bacteria; Bacillati; Actinomycetota; Actinomycetes; Mycobacteriales; Mycobacteriaceae. The record is from RNAcentral.